RNAcentral lists this transfer RNA (71 nucleotides) under Candidatus Woesearchaeota archaeon. Its description in RNAcentral is "tRNA-Gly". It matches the Rfam family "tRNA". Rfam says of the family: Transfer RNA (tRNA) molecules are approximately 80 nucleotides in length. Their secondary structure includes four short double-helical elements and three loops (D, anti-codon, and T loops). Lineage: Archaea; Nanobdellati; Candidatus Woesearchaeota. The record is from RNAcentral.
GCGCCGAUGGUGUAGUGGUAGCAUCACAGCCUUCCAAGCUGUUAGCACGGGUUCGAAUCCCGUUCGGCGCA